Molecule: long non-coding RNA, 439 nt
Organism: Morone saxatilis (striped sea-bass)
Lineage: Eukaryota; Metazoa; Chordata; Actinopteri; Moronidae
Exons: 5
Source: RefSeq, a predicted model, not a curated record
GGCUUGCUUCAUAUAGACAAGGGAGAAAGUCUGUCUUACAGAGUGUGGGACAAAAUGAGAAAGCCUGCAGCUGAGGCUGCUGUCGAGGCUGUCCCAGGCUGCUCAGACUGAAUACACAGCCUGAUUCACACAGACACCUCUCAAAUGCAGGAUGCUGCAGGAGAAUCUGGCCUCAGCCUCUACUUCAUUAUGCCCUUACUGCUCUACAUGUCUUUGAAGGCCGAGGACCAUCGGACCGCCAUCUACUGCUGGGAUGAAAAGAACUACAGGUUAAAGAGUGAGCGGCCUCUAAAUGAGGAGCGACAAAGAGCCAAUCAGCGAUGAGGAAAACACAGGAAGUGAGGUAGACUUCACUCUUUUCUGCUUCAUCAAGAGGAGAGGAAAACAAGAUGAAGAACUGGAGUUUGUUGUGACUCAGCCAAACACAAACAAGCUAGCU